This 661-nucleotide ribosomal RNA is filed under the name uncultured bacterium. Its description in RNAcentral is "bacterial SSU rRNA". The stretch from base 1 to 552 matches the Rfam family "Bacterial small subunit ribosomal RNA", at positions 338 to 873 of the family's 1533-position model. The record is from RNAcentral.
CCUACGGGAGGCAGCAGUGGGGAAUAUUGGAUAAUGGGCGAAAGCCUGAUCCAGCCAUGCCGCGUGUGUGAAGAAGGUCUUCGGAUUGUAAAGCACUUUAAGUUGGGAGGAAGGGUUGUAGAUUAAUACUCUGCAAUUUUGACGUUACCGACAGAAUAAGCACCGGCUAACUCUGUGCCAGCAGCCGCGGUAAUACAGAGGGUGCAAGCGUUAAUCGGAAUUACUGGGCGUAAAGCGCGCGUAGGUGGUUUGUUAAGUUGGAUGUGAAAUCCCCGGGCUCAACCUGGGAACUGCAUUCAAAACUGACUGACUAGAGUAUGGUAGAGGGUGGUGGAAUUUCCUGUGUAGCGGUGAAAUGCGUAGAUAUAGGAAGGAACACCAGUGGCGAAGGCGACCACCUGGACUAAUACUGACACUGAGGUGCGAAAGCGUGGGGAGCAAACAGGAUUAGAUACCCUGGUAGUCCCACGACCGUAAACGAUGUCACUAGCGUCGGAAGACCUGUAGUCUUUUAGUUGGUCGCGAGCUAACGACAUUAAAGUUAGUACCGCCGUCGGGGAGGGUACGGGUCCGGCCGAAGGUUAAAACGUUAACGUAAAGUUAAGUUAAGUUAGUUACGGCGUUGGAGGACGUUGCCGAGGACGACGACGAGGGAGGAGGG